CCUAUGGGGCGCAGCAGGCGCGAAACCUUCACAAUGUGCGAAAGCACGAUGAGGGGAUCCCAAGUGCUCGCUCGUAAGACUCAGCUGUUUCUUAGUCUAAAAAGCAUAGAGAGUAAGGGCUGGGUAAGACCGGUGCCAGCAGCCGCGGUAA
RNAcentral lists this ribosomal RNA (151 nucleotides) under uncultured archaeon. RNAcentral's name for it is "partial 16S ribosomal RNA". It matches the Rfam family "Archaeal small subunit ribosomal RNA", at positions 322 to 473 of the family's 1478-position model. The record is from RNAcentral.